GUAAAAAAAAUUUCAUAUGAAGGGUGAGUUUUGAUCAAUCGCAUUAUGCGUAAAUGCAAUUUUGUUUUGUAAAAGCUGUAUUUGCACAUAAUGCAAUUGAUCAAACGAUGAAUUAUAAAACUCGUCCAUAAUGUGACGUGACGUCCCGUUUAGUCACUCGUCACAUCUUUAGUGCUCGUCACAACUGGAAUCAUAAGGUCCGACUGGGAAAGCACGCUGCGGAUUUUGCGUCAUCUCGGUUCGGAAAUAAACGUGAUGACGCGCUGUGAAUGCCGUUCGCAGCGUUUGUUUGUUUGUAAAUCUUAUAUUUAGAGUUUUGUAAAGAAAAUGUUUUGCUUGGUCGAAUUAUCACGAGAAAGAGGAUCUAACGUCGCGUCGCUCGAGGAUCAUUGAACUACACGGAGAAGAGCAGGGACAUGCAGAUGACACCGUUUCAUUUUAUUAUCUUUGACAUGCUCGCUUAACGCGUAUGUACAAGUAAAGCCGUUGUACGUUACAAGAAAUUGUAAGCGUACGGAUCGAAGCAAAGGAAUAUCAAUACUCAGUCAUAGCGUGACCCCGCUUGGAGUUGUAAUGAAAAUUUUUCGAAAUAAAUUUCGGCAUUAGACCUGAGCGCAAAGGCUUCGAACUUAAGAAAAAGCUCUUUUAGCUUGACCGUCCAAAGUCGAGAAAUCUAGCGAAAAAUUUGCAGUCUAAAAACACCGACGUAACUACUUCAAGUUGCGCGCCGAGCAGCGAUUUGCGCAAGUCGCGAGGGUUGCGUGAUAAGAUGGGACCAAUCACAAGGCGCCGCAAACUCCCUUGGCAACCCGAAGGCUUGCAUAGAAUGGAAAGCCCUGCGUACCUUCUGUGGAAAAUUCGAACUUCAUUUCCCUGUGGAAACCGUUGCUGUCUAGACAACCCGCCUCAAGCAUUUGCAUUUACGUGCUGUUGAUAAGAUAAACCAACUUUCUUGUAAAGCUGCCAAUUUCGCCAAUUGGAUGAGUCGCGCGCGGUAGACAUUACUAUGUUUACGACAAAGUUUGCUUUAUUCGGCCUGGUAUUAUCCUUGAUAAGAGCAUCAUCCGAAUGGCAACUGACGAAAUGUUGCCCACCGGGACAGAGCUAUGUAAACAGUUUCACCAACUGUAAAUCAGUACCGUUAUUCGCAAUAGAGGUUUAUUCUCACUAUUGGAACAUUACCAGUGAGUUCCAAGGAAUUCCUCAGUGCAACAAACCUGAGGAUCUUGUGACAACGCUACUCGACGAUUUCAAAUCUAACACUAUCUUAGAGGUGCCAGCUUGUCUUGAAUUAUUUUUCAAGGGAAAGGGAAAAAAACCCAGAAUAAUAAUUCAUCACUGUCGAUCAAACAAGGACCAACAAGUAAAAACAAUUAACGCAUCCUUUGAACAGUUCUUACACAUUAGAAGAUGCUGCUUUGGCGAUACAAUAUUUGACAGCAGCACAAAGACAUGUGUGACCCAGUUAAACGAAACACAGAGUCUUGGAGCAGUUUUGAUAAAUAGAUCGACUGCAGAAAGUACAGUGAUACUCUCUUAUUCUCCACUUAUAUGCAAAGGGCCGAUCGUUAAUUACGAAUUUAACGAAAACGAUAUUUUUCUACGGAGCAAUACAUAUACGGUGAAGGUUCCAGCCUUCAACAAUAUUGUCAAAGAGGAAACACUUACUGAGGAUAACGCUUGUCUCGAGAUGACACCGGAUUUUUCAUUGAAACGAAGAUUGGCAGUCCGUAUCUGCGGAAAACCGGAAUUCUGCGACAAAAACGCUUGUAUUAGAAAGUGUUGUUCCGAAGAUGGACAUUUUUAUUUUGAUAAACGUCAAAAUAUCAAAUUAUUUGGUUGCAAUAGGCGCCCUGUACCUAAUAAACCCGGAAAAUUUUACAAUGCUCUUGCAAACGCCGUGAAUCAAUCGAAGUCGUUCACUUUCGACACGACCAAAGUCCACGGAAUUUGGAGUAAUGUUUUACACCCCCGUAUAUACAUCCCGUGUAAAAAAAUACACCGUUUCUGGAACCCAGAUGAAUGGGAAGAACGUAUGUCACUGGAAUCAAAUGGACAUACGGACGGCAGGCACUGCUUCGACGUCGUAGAAGACAAAGUCAACAACUCUUAUCGUUUUGAAUUGCUUUACUGUGACAAACACGCACACGUUUUUCCAAGGUAUAUAUUUUCCAUUACCUUAGCUUUAAAAUGUAUUAUGUGAUAACUGUAUGUAAUUAUUAUUUGCGUACAUUUACCAACUGCUAUUCUAUUAUUAGUUUCACUUUUCAACAAUAUCUCUGUUGAUGUAAACGAAUUGUCAGAUUGUAUUAAUAUGGGAUUUUCCAAUGGUUUGUGAUAUCAGAAAUUUGUUCCGGAAAAGUAAAUUUGUGUUGUUUUCUUAGUAAUUAAUUAAAAUUCAAUGUGUUGUAUUAGACUUUCAUUAUCGAUGCUAGCGCAUUACUAUGCAUUCAGGCUCUUAUUUCUUCCACCGCAAAUUUUAAAUUUGGUUAAAUUCGAUAGAUUUAGUUUGUUUUAAUUUUACGAUGUCAAAUAAUCAUAACAUGUAGUAACAUGUCGAGCACCGUAUAAUUAAAAAGUAUUCAAAUAUUUAAGAGCUGUAAAUAUUUUAGUAUGUACACGCGGCACAAGGAGAAGCAUUAUUAAUGUAUGUGAAAUUGAUAAAAAUAAUGUCAGAUCAAUUGUUGAGCAUUAGAUAAACAUGACGCAUUUGUAUAUUCCUACGAAUUAUGAAACCUAAAAUGAAUUUUUGGUUUAGACCUGCCUGGUAUUCCCCCCUAAUAGUCAUCAAGGGUGUAUUUCUGCUGAUGACGUUGCUAGUGUACGCGUUCUUACCGAAUCUGCAAAAUAUUCAUGGGAAAAUUGUCAUAUGUUAUGUGAGCAAUAUCUUGUUGAAUGCUAUCUUCCAAUUAAUCAGCAGUUGGUUCGACAAAGUCAGCUCUGAGCAACAAAGAAGAAUAGAGUGCAAAUUUUUAUGUUUGUAUACAAACGUCUUAGGAAAUAUUCAUAUACGAAUAAUGAUAAAGAAACGUAAAAAAUAUUUUUUUAGCUUACAUCGGGUUUUUUUCUGGACUUGCGAUAAAUUUUUGGCUUAACGUCAUGUGCUUCGACAUGUGGCGGACCAUCACAACUUUUGAGAAUAGGAAGAACUACAAUAAUAGGAAAAGAUUUCUGUUGUACUGUUUAUAUGGAUGGGGCAUUCCUUUACUGCUGACAAUCCUCAUUAUCGUUGCCGAUAAGACGAAUUUUCUGCCAGAAUAUCUGAUACCCGAUAUUGGCAAUACUUCAUGUGGGAUAAUGAGUGAGUUAUUAAUCGAUAACAAUUUUCCGAGAGAUGAUAUAACAUAAGUUAGUCAAUACUAAAAACAAAGUUCUUGGAAAUAUUACUGACUUCUGUAACGAAAGUUAACUCGUCUGCACAGUGUUGAAUAUUUUUUCUAACCUUCUUGAUAUAAUAAUUUACGCAGCAAAUAAAUAGAUAUAGUAAUUAGGAAGAGUUGAGAAUUAAUACCAGAUGAAUUGCAAUCAAAAAAUUUAUGUUUUAUUCAAACUUUAUCACAUCGCAAGAAGAAAACAAAUGUGAAAUUUUCUGUCCAUCAUCGUGUCACAAUCCAAUUAUUGAAAACCAUCUCAAGUAACUCUAUUGAUUGUACUAUAUCAUUGC
Solenopsis invicta (red fire ant) is the source of this 3664-nucleotide RNA transcript. RefSeq lists it as uncharacterized. The transcript has 6 exons. The record is from RefSeq and is a predicted model, not a curated record. Lineage: Eukaryota; Metazoa; Arthropoda; Insecta; Hymenoptera; Formicidae.